This 497-nucleotide ribosomal RNA is filed under the name uncultured bacterium. RNAcentral describes it as "partial 16S ribosomal RNA". It matches the Rfam family "Bacterial small subunit ribosomal RNA", at positions 28 to 507 of the family's 1533-position model. The record is from RNAcentral.
GAUGAACGCUGGCGGCGUGCCUAAUACAUGCAAGUCGAGCGAACGGACGAGAAGCUUGCUUCUCUGAUGUUAGCGGCGGACGGGUGAGUAACACGUGGAUAACCUACCUAUAAGACUGGGAUAACUUCGGGAAACCGGAGCUACUACCGGAUGAUAUUUUGAACCGCAUGGUUCAAAAGUGAAAGACGGUCUUGCUGUCACUUAUAGAUGGAUCCGCGCUGCAUUAGCUAGUUGGUAAGGUAACGGCUUACCAAGGCAACGAUGCAUAGCCGACCUGAGAGGGUGAUCGGCCACACUGGAACUGAGACACGGUCCAGACUCCUACGGGAGGCAGCAGUAGGGAAUCUUGCGCAAUGGGCGAAAGCCUGACGGAGCAACGCCGCGUGAGUGAUGAAGGUCUUCGGAUCGUAAAGCUCUGUUAUUAGGGAAGAACAUAUGUGUAAGUAACUGUGCACAUCUUGACGGUACCUAAUCAGAAAGCCACGGCUAACUACGUG